GAGUCUAACAUGUGCGCAAGUCGUUGGGUCUUGCACAGGCCCAAAGGCGCAAUGAAAGUGAAGGUCGGCCGGGCUGCCGACUUCGUUGGGAUCCUCGCCUUCGUCAGGAGGCGGGGCGCACCAACGGCCCGUCCAUGCCGCCACGUCGGCGGGGCGGAGUGAGAGCGUACACGUUGGGACCCGAAAGAUGGUGAACUAUGCCUGGGCAGGACGAAGCCAGAGGAAACUCUGGUGGAGGUCCGCAGCGAUUCUGACGUGCAAAUCGAUCGUCAGACCUUGGUAUAGGGGCGAAAGACUAAUCGAACCAUCUAGUAGCUGGUUCC
This 323-nucleotide ribosomal RNA is filed under the name Carcinoscorpius rotundicauda (Southeast Asian horseshoe crab). Its description in RNAcentral is "eukaryotic LSU rRNA". It matches the Rfam family "Eukaryotic large subunit ribosomal RNA", at positions 671 to 958 of the family's 3401-position model. The record is from RNAcentral. Lineage: Eukaryota; Metazoa; Arthropoda; Merostomata; Xiphosura; Limulidae.